GAAUAUUGCGCAAUGGGCGAAAGCCUGACGCAGCAACGCCGCGUGAGGGAUGAAGGCUCUCGGGUUGUAAACCUCUUUCAGCAGGGACGAUUGUGACGGUACCUGCAGAAGAAGCUCCGGCCAACUACGUGCCAGCAGCCGCGGUAACACGUAGGGAGCAAGCGUUGUCCGGAUUUAUUGGGCGUAAAGAGCUCGUAGGUGGUUCGGUAAGUCGGGUGUGAAAACUCUGGGCUCAACUCAGAGACGCCACCCGAUACUGCCGUGACUUGAGUCUGGUAGGGGAGUGUGGAAUUCCUAGUGUAGCGGUGAAAUGCGCAGAUAUUAGGAGGAACACCAGUGGCGAAGGCGGCACUCUGGGCCAGUACUGACACUGAGGAGCGAAAGCGUGGGUAGCGAACAGG
This 401-nucleotide ribosomal RNA is filed under the name uncultured bacterium. Its description in RNAcentral is "bacterial SSU rRNA". It matches the Rfam family "Bacterial small subunit ribosomal RNA", at positions 359 to 776 of the family's 1533-position model. The record is from RNAcentral.